Molecule: ribosomal RNA, 467 nt
Filed under: uncultured bacterium
Lineage: Bacteria
Description: partial 16S ribosomal RNA
Rfam family: Bacterial small subunit ribosomal RNA
Source: RNAcentral
GACGAACGCUGGCGGCGUGCUUAACACAUGCAAGUCGAACGGAAAGGCCCUGCUUUUGUGGGGUGCUCGAGUGGCGAACGGGUGAGUAACACGUGAGUAACCUGCCCUUGACUUUGGGAUAACUUCAGGAAACUGGGGCUAAUACCGGAUAGGAGCUCCUGCUGCAUGGUGGGGGUUGGAAAGUUUCGGCGGUUGGGGAUGGACUCGCGGCUUAUCAGCUUGUUGGUGGGGUAGUGGCUUACCAAGGCUUUGACGGGUAGCCGGCCUGAGAGGGUGACCGGCACCAUGGGGACGGGGAUCCGGCCCGGACUCCACGGGAGGCAGCAGUGGGGAAUAUUGCACAAUGGGCGGAAGCCUGAUGCAGCAACGCCGCGUGCGGGAUGACGGCCUUCGGGUUGUAAACCGCUUUCGCCUGUGACGAAGCGUGAGUGACGGUAAUGGGUAAAGAAGCACCGGCUAACUACGUG